UACGUAGGGAGCAAGCGUUGUUCGGAUUUACUGGGCGUAAAGGGCGCGUAGGCGGCAAUUCAAGUCAGCUGUGAAAUCUCCGGGCUUAACUCGGAACGGUCAGCUGAUACUGCUUUGCUAGAGUGCAGAAGGGGCAAUCGGAAUUCUUGGUGUAGCGGUGAAAUGCGUAGAUAUCAAGAGGAACACCUGAGGUGAAGACGGGUUGCUGGGCUGACACUGACGCUGAGGCGCGAAAGUGUGGGGAUCAAACAGG
Molecule: ribosomal RNA, 253 nt
Filed under: uncultured bacterium
Lineage: Bacteria
Description: partial 16S ribosomal RNA
Rfam family: Bacterial small subunit ribosomal RNA
Source: RNAcentral